CCCUACGGGGGGCAGCAGUGAGGAAUAUUGGUCAAUGGCCGAGAGGCUGAACCAGCCAAGUCGCGUGAGGGAAGAAUGUCCUAAGGAUUGUAAACCUCUUUUGUCGGGGAGCAAAAAGGCUCUGCGGAGUCGUAUUGAGAGUACCCGAAGAAAAAGCUCCGGCUAACUACGUGCCAGCAGCCGCGGUAAUACGUAGGGAGCGAGCGUUGUCCGGAUUUACUGGGUGUAAAGGGUGCGUAGGCGGGUAAGCAAGUCAGAAGUGAAAUCCAUGGGCUUAACCCAUGAACUGCUUUUGAAACUGUUUU
This 305-nucleotide ribosomal RNA is filed under the name uncultured bacterium. RNAcentral's name for it is "bacterial SSU rRNA". It matches the Rfam family "Bacterial small subunit ribosomal RNA", at positions 337 to 639 of the family's 1533-position model. The record is from RNAcentral.